RNAcentral lists this ribosomal RNA (254 nucleotides) under uncultured bacterium. RNAcentral describes it as "partial 16S ribosomal RNA". It matches the Rfam family "Bacterial small subunit ribosomal RNA", at positions 524 to 776 of the family's 1533-position model. The record is from RNAcentral.
UACGUAGGGUGCAAGCGUUGUCCGGAAUUAUUGGGCGUAAAGAGCUCGUAGGCGGUUUGUCGCGUCUGCUGUGAAAACGCGGGGCUCAACUCCGCGCCUGCAGUGGGUACGGGCAGACUAGAGUGCAGUAGGGGAGACGUGGAAUUCCUGGUGUAGCGGUGGAAUGCGCAGAUAUCAGGAGGAACACCGGUGGCGAAGGCGGGUCUCUGGGCUGUAACUGACGCUGAGGAGCGAAAGCGUGGGUAGCGAACAGG